RNAcentral lists this ribosomal RNA (484 nucleotides) under uncultured bacterium. RNAcentral describes it as "partial 16S ribosomal RNA". It matches the Rfam family "Bacterial small subunit ribosomal RNA", at positions 28 to 507 of the family's 1533-position model. The record is from RNAcentral.
GAUGAACGCUGGCGGCGUGCCUAACACAUGCAAGUCGAGCGGAAAGACGCGGAUCUUGCUCCUCUGAUGUCGGCGGCGGGCGGGUCACUUAAAUGAGGUUACCUUGACUUCAGGACUAGUUUAAGUUACGGGGGCCAAUGCCAGUACCGGAUCAUAUAUUGAACGUGGGGGUUCAACAGUGUAAGCGGUUUUUGAUGUCCCUUAGACGUAUUAGCUAGUUGGUUGGGUAACGGCUUACCAUGGCUACGAUGCGUAGCCGACCUGAGAGGGCGACCUGCCACACUGGAACUGAGACACGGUCCAGACUCCUACGGGAGGCAGCAGUAGGGAAUCUUGGGCAAUGGGCGGAAGCCUGACGGAGCAACGCCGCGUGAGUGAAGAAGGUCUUCGGAUCGUAAAACUCUGUUAGUGGGGAAGAACAAAUGUGUAAGUAGCUAUGCACGUCUUGACGGUACCUACACAAAAAGCCCCGGCUAACUACGUG